Molecule: microRNA precursor, 107 nt
Filed under: Cricetulus griseus (Chinese hamster)
Lineage: Eukaryota; Metazoa; Chordata; Mammalia; Rodentia; Cricetidae
Description: miRNA (ENSCGRG00000021752.1)
Source: RNAcentral
GGUGUGGCCUUGUUGGGGGAAGUGUGUCACUGGGGGUGGGCUUUGAGGUUUUGGAGGCUCAAGCCAGGCCCAGUGGCUCACUCUCUCUUCCUGCUGCCUGCUGGUCC